UUAUGGGAGGUUUUUUUUAGAACAACUAGAAAUAGUUUAGAAAAAGAAAUAGUUUGAAGUCCAACAAACUCAAAUGGUUAACUUAACAUCUGUUAAGACAAAGUAACUGAUGACACUAGAUCUACUUAUUUUGCCAUGUGAAGAAUAGUACUAAAAAAUGGCAAAUCAUUCAUUAAUAGAAAUUGGAAUUUUGUAUAUUUCAACUUUUUAAUUUAAGACUACUGACAUGUCUAUUUAAAUUUAUGUACACAUUACAAUGUUUUUACACAUUUUAUGUACAAACUCGUUUCAAUAAAAAUAACACAAUCAACACAAUAUCUGUUUAGCU
This is a non-coding RNA of Biomphalaria pfeifferi, 328 nucleotides long. The record is from the annotation of a GenBank genome assembly. Lineage: Eukaryota; Metazoa; Mollusca; Gastropoda; Planorbidae.